This 288-nucleotide long non-coding RNA is filed under the name Fukomys damarensis (Damara mole-rat). RNAcentral describes it as "lncRNA (ENSFDAG00000025332.1)". The record is from RNAcentral. Lineage: Eukaryota; Metazoa; Chordata; Mammalia; Rodentia; Bathyergidae.
CUUCCGGGGGCAAAGCUUAAUCUCAGCCAGACCUUUCAAUUACACAGAGAAGAGGAAUUUGCCAAGAAAAGGAAAGAGCAACUGGGACCGCAGCACUCAGAGGGAGUUGCCAUCGGAUCAGGAAUCCUGAGUAGCUCCACUUGCUUCUUCUUCUUGCAUAAGGAAAUUCACAUUCAGAAUCAAACUCGGGACUGCGGCAAGGCAGGCAGCAGCACCAUGGAGCUAAAUCCCCGACUCAUAUAAGGAAGCAAGUUUUUGCAGAACCACUGAGCUAAAUCCCCAGCCCGA